UACGUAGGGGGCAAGCGUUGUCCGGAUUUAUUGGGCGUAAAGAGCGUGUAGGCGGUCAGGUAGGUCCGUUGUGAAAACUCGAGGCUCAACCUCGAGACGCCGAUGGAAACCAUCUGACUAGAGUCCGGAAGAGGCGAGUGGAAUUCCUGGUGUAGCGGUGAAAUGCGCAGAUAUCAGGAGGAACACCGAUGGCGAAGGCAGCUCGCUGGGACGGUACUGACGCUGAGACGCGAAAGCGUGGGGAGCAAACAGG
This 253-nucleotide ribosomal RNA is filed under the name uncultured bacterium. RNAcentral describes it as "partial 16S ribosomal RNA". It matches the Rfam family "Bacterial small subunit ribosomal RNA", at positions 524 to 776 of the family's 1533-position model. The record is from RNAcentral.